GAGUGUUUUUUUUUUACUCGGGGUUAGUUCUCUGAAAUGAGCCACGUGGGAGGACCACAGUGUGUUGGUGACUCUGUUGCUGAUGGAGGGGCCGCAUGAAGCUAAGACAGUCCUCUUCUGGUGCACCUGGAGUUGGCAGGCCAGGCCAGCCGGAGCCUCUCCUGUCCCCUUCCUGAAGACCGAGGGUCCCGGUUCCCCAGGACAUGCAGUUUGGUUUCGUUGCGACCCGGGGGACUUCUUUUGAGUCCAGUAAUCGGGGACACGUCUGCGAAGCAUGUACCUGCUUGGACUUCAGUGCUGGUCUGAGAAGGGCCGUGAGGCUCCCGGCGGGCGCCCGGAGGGCAAGUGUCUAAUUGCACGUUUCAGACGCGGGGUGUGCGAGCCCCCGGGCGUCGUGUGCCGUUCCGUUGGGGUGAGCUCAGCACAAACAAAAGGCUAAACCUAAGGAUUAAGUUCUCCUUCAAAUACUUACGGGUUUCCAGCUUCUGUGGAAAAUAGGCCUGGGAAAAAUCUCUUUGGGGUUUCAUGAAACACUUGGAAAAUAAAUCUGAAAAACAUUUUCCAAACCCGG
Long non-coding RNA from Leopardus geoffroyi (Geoffroy's cat), 571 nucleotides. RefSeq lists it as uncharacterized. The transcript has 2 exons. The record is from RefSeq and is a predicted model, not a curated record. Lineage: Eukaryota; Metazoa; Chordata; Mammalia; Carnivora; Felidae.